CACGUAGGGCGCAAGCGUUGUCCGGAAUUAUUGGGCGUAAAGAGCUCGUAGGCGGUCUGUUACGUCUGCUGUGAAAACCCAGGGCUUAACCCUGGGCUUGCAGUGGAUACGGGCAGACUGGAGGCAGGCAGGGGAGAACGGAAUUCCCGGUGUAGCGGUGAAAUGCGCAGAUAUCGGGAGGAACACCGGUGGCGAAGGCGGUUCUCUGGGCCUGUACUGACGCUGAGGAGCGAAAGCGUGGGGAGCGAACAGG
RNAcentral lists this ribosomal RNA (253 nucleotides) under uncultured bacterium. RNAcentral's name for it is "partial 16S ribosomal RNA". It matches the Rfam family "Bacterial small subunit ribosomal RNA", at positions 524 to 776 of the family's 1533-position model. The record is from RNAcentral.